GAUGAACGCUAGCUACAGGCUUAACACAUGCAAGUCGAGGGGAAACGACAUCGAAAGCUUGCUUUUAAUGGGCGUCGACCGGCGCACGGGUGAGUAACGCGUAUCCAACCUGCCCACCACUUGGGGAUAACCUUGCGAAAGUAAGACUAAUACCCAAUGAUAUCCCACGAAGGCAUCCGAAUGGGAUUAAAGAUUUAUCGGUGAUGGAUGGGGAUGCGUCUGAUUAGCUUGUUGGCGGGGUAACGGCCCACCAAGGCAACGAUCAGUAGGGGUUCUGAGAGGAAGGUCCCCCCACAUUGGAACUGAGACACGGUCCAAACUCCUACGGGAGGCAGCAGUGAGGAAUAUUGGUCAAUGGGCGAGAGCCUGAACCAGCCAAGUAGCGUGCAGGAUGACGGCCCUAUGGGUUGUAAACUGCUUUUAUAAGGGAAUAAAGUGAGCCUCGUGAGGCUUUUUGCAUGUACCUUAUGAAUAAGGACCGGCUAAUUCCGUG
Molecule: ribosomal RNA, 493 nt
Filed under: uncultured bacterium
Lineage: Bacteria
Description: bacterial SSU rRNA
Rfam family: Bacterial small subunit ribosomal RNA
Source: RNAcentral